Non-coding RNA from Piedraia hortae CBS 480.64, 102 nucleotides. The record is from the annotation of a GenBank genome assembly. NCBI's taxonomy places the organism in Eukaryota, Fungi, Ascomycota, Dothideomycetes, Capnodiales, Piedraiaceae.
GGCAACGUAGCAAAGUGGUUAAUGCGAUUGACUAGAACACCUGAUUUCAGGUCUCGUGAUCAAUUCUCUUCGGAGGCGUAGGUUCGAAUCCUGCCGUUGUCG